UGUUAAGUCUCCCAAACAAAGUUUGGAGACUUAUUGUUUUUGCUCAGUUCUUAUUAUUUUUAUUAUUCUUCCUCUUUUAGCUUCUUCUUCUUCUUCCGACACUUUAAAAAUGAACUUGUCCGCAGCGUUUCUCCAAAACCGCUUGUCAGAUUUACUUAGGGUUUCAUACCAUGGUAGACUAAUAUGUCUAGGUGAGCCAUCAAUCUUUCGUUUGUGCAUUGGAGUCUAUUAAGGGGUAUUUUGGGGGGUAGAAAGUAGGGAGGGGUUUACUAUAGAACCCUAUGGGUUUUUAUUUUCUAAAAUUUUCAAAUGAAUAUAACUUGAAAACUGUAAGUGAUAGAUACAUGCAGUCUUCAGAAAUGAUUAAAGGAC
This 372-nucleotide long non-coding RNA is filed under the name Mytilus galloprovincialis (Mediterranean mussel). The record is from RNAcentral. Lineage: Eukaryota; Metazoa; Mollusca; Bivalvia; Mytilida; Mytilidae.